RNAcentral lists this non-coding RNA (24 nucleotides) under Arabidopsis thaliana (thale cress). Lineage: Eukaryota; Viridiplantae; Streptophyta; Magnoliopsida; Brassicales; Brassicaceae. The record is from RNAcentral.
ACAGAACACAAGAGAGCAAGCCAC